ACAUAGCGCCCGCUUCCCUAAAACUUCUCCAAGCUCUGCCCUCAACUAACCUCCUUUCCAACUCCUGUGCCUUCUCCUUAGUCAAAGCACCCCAUCUAAUCCGCGGUUGACCCCGAGCGCCCCUCUUCUUCCUCUUCACCCAGAGACUGACAUCCAUCACUAGGAGUCUAUGAAGAGUUGAAAGAGACUCUCCCGGAAUAACCUUGCAGUCCUUGCACA
This 219-nucleotide long non-coding RNA is filed under the name Nicotiana benthamiana. RNAcentral's name for it is "long non-coding RNA (NBEN_LNC029766)". The record is from RNAcentral. Lineage: Eukaryota; Viridiplantae; Streptophyta; Magnoliopsida; Solanales; Solanaceae.